CGAAACAUGGGUGGAUAGAUGGGUGCAUCACCUGGGUCCGUUCCAGUUCUCCUGGAUGGAUGGGUGAACAGAUGGUAGAUGAUGGGUUCGAUCCAGCUGAGCCUUGAGCAACACGGCUCUAAACUGCCCUCACUCACGGAUUUCCCUCUGCCUCGGCCACCCCUGAGACAGCAAGAGCAGCCCACGGCUUCCUCCUCCUCUGUAGCCUCCUCAGUGUGAAGACAACAAGAAUGAAGACCUUUAGGAUGAGCCACUUCAACUUCAUAAUGGGCGAACGCGAGGAAGGCUCACCUGCUGCGAAGUGGAUCUGCGCCGCCUGUGGUCCGGCGGGCUGGAAGUGGACGGCCAGCUCGACGACGUCCGGGAGGUCAAACACAGUCACCUGGAGACGAGGGUACUCGCGGGCCAGCUCUCGGGCCAGUGCACCUGUGCAGCCUGCGGGGAAGCAAAUACACGCUCUGCGGCCAGGUCGUCCUGGUGCCUACGGAACGCUGACGACUCUAACAAGCUCAACCGGGGCAGAAGUCAUGUUCGAGGGCAUGGCACUGAGACCCAUGCUGGAAGGGAAAGCCAGUGGUGGGGAGUUCGCUGGGGUCCCAGACAAGACUGUGCAAGCAGGUGAGUGCGGGGGCACAGACCUGCAGGGAAAUCCUUCCAGCCCAGAGGUGGGGGCUGUACUCCUCCCUUCUCCUUCCUGCCGUGGGGAUGUAUAAACGAUGGUCGGUGCAACAGCAGCCACUCUGGGCCACGUGUGGGGGCACAGACCUGCAGGGAAAUCCUUCCAGCCCAGGGGUGUACUCUGUACUCCUCCCUUCUCCUUCCUGCCGUGGGGAUGUAUACACAAUGGCCGGUGCUACAGCAGCCACUCUGGGCCACGUGUGGGGGCACAGACCUGCAGGGAAAUCCUUCCAGCCCAGGGGUGUACUCUGUACUCCUCCCUUCUCCUUCCUGCCGUGGGGAUGUAUACACGAUGGCCGGUGCUACAGCA
Macaca mulatta (Rhesus monkey) is the source of this 988-nucleotide non-coding RNA. NCBI's taxonomy places the organism in Eukaryota, Metazoa, Chordata, Mammalia, Primates, Cercopithecidae. The record is from RefSeq and is a predicted model, not a curated record.